CAGCAUAUUGGAAAUAAAUAAAAGAUAAACAAAUCUUUUCAUUUAAAACCCAAUAGAGGAACCUGAGCAGGUGAGCACGGAUGUGGGCGUGGCCUGUGGAAGAAGCGAUCAGAACCCGGAAGUGAAACAGUGUAAAGAUACAGCGAAAGUUUGAUGCCAGAGCCACAGUGUGAAAUAAACAGAAGAGUGAUGACAUCAAAACAGCCGGCCGUGGAUGUUUGUUCUCCGCUGCCUCCCCUCCCUCCGUGGACGAUGGCGGCGGCGAUGAUGGUCUGGCAGCAGAGAUUGUCCCCCGACACCAGGAACAAUUUUCAUCACCGUUGUUUGGUCCCUGACGAAUGAAAACACAUCCUUCGACCUCAGACUCCCGCCACCCCCGGGCAGUUUUUGCAUCCUCUUGCAUUAUGCUGGUGUUUACACAUGUGAAAGGACGGCGUCCAGGACGGCAUUCUGGUGUCACAGGAGAAGAAGAUGGAGAUGAAGAAGAAGGAGGAGAUGAAGAAGAAGGAGAUGAAGGAGGAGGAGGAGAAGAAGAAGCUGGACCUCAGGUACUUUUUUAAACUCCAUUUUUUUCUGCUUCUCCUUGAGAGAAAAAGUUGUGAAAUAAUUGGAAAAAUGCUGAAAGUUAAAGAUGCCAUUAUCACAGAGGCAUUGUAGAGAAUUAUUUUUUUCUUAGAUGGAAACCUGGAAACUGUCUUCAGCCCUGAGGGGAGAAAAGAAGUCAGAUUUCCCCCCAAAUUCAUCAGAGAAGAUCACAUUAAACUGCUGCAGCAGUAAAGUUUGAUAUGAUUCUCCUGCAGGGCAUCGUUGUGUUUGAAUGUCAUGAUUAAAAAAAAUCUCUCCCAUCGUGAACUGAACUCUUAGAUGAAUCACAUCUGUGCAUGCGAUCCAGUCCCUGCCUCCCCCCUCGUCCCCCUCCUCUCCCUCCCUCCCUCCUCCCUCCUCCUGUGUGAAUGUCAGCUCUGCUGCCUAUUGCAGACGCGGCUGAGGUACAAAGACUCCCCAAAUCCUCCAAUAUGUGCAGCGAUGGGCGGCACUGUAGCGCAGCCUCUCAAGUGUCAGAACUUAAAACUCCUGCGCGCCGCUCUGCCUCAGAAUGUGGAGGCUCCGCGCCAACACGGUGACACUCUGAGUGUAGACACUUAGACAAGAAGCGGAGCAGGGUUUUUUUUUUCUUUUUUCUUUUUUCCUCCCUCCUCUUCUCUCCAUCACCUCCUCCGUGGAUGCUGUGGC
Molecule: long non-coding RNA, 1233 nt
Organism: Cynoglossus semilaevis (tongue sole)
Lineage: Eukaryota; Metazoa; Chordata; Actinopteri; Pleuronectiformes; Cynoglossidae
Exons: 3
Source: RefSeq, a predicted model, not a curated record